UACGGAGGGUGCAAGCGUUAUCCGGAUUUACUGGGUUUGAAGGGUGUGUAGGCGGGCUGUUAAGUCAGUGGUGAAAUCUCCGGGCUCAACCCGGAAACUGCCAUUGAUACUAAUGGUCUUGAAUUUUGUUGAGGUAGGCGGAAUAAGUCAUGUAGCGGUGAAAUGCAUAGAUAUGACUUAGAACACCAAUUGCGAAGGCAGCUUGCUAAACAAAUAUUGACGCUGAGGCACGAAAGCGUGGGGAUCAAACAGG
RNAcentral lists this ribosomal RNA (253 nucleotides) under uncultured bacterium. Its description in RNAcentral is "partial 16S ribosomal RNA". It matches the Rfam family "Bacterial small subunit ribosomal RNA", at positions 524 to 776 of the family's 1533-position model. The record is from RNAcentral.